Long non-coding RNA from Drosophila miranda, 457 nucleotides. RefSeq lists it as uncharacterized. The record is from RefSeq and is a predicted model, not a curated record. The transcript has 2 exons. Lineage: Eukaryota; Metazoa; Arthropoda; Insecta; Diptera; Drosophilidae.
CGGUUUCCCCUUCCCUUAGACAUGCACCUUGCACCUUUUGGGCAGUUACGCGCAAGAAAAAAAUGACAUAAGUUAACAGCGGCUACUGUCAAGGUGUGGUGAGAAAAGGGGAAUGAGAGAACCAAGGGCUCAAGCGGAAGGAGAGUGGCUUGGGCAUGUUCUUUCCAAUUUUACUCGCGAUCCCAGACGGACGUCUGAGGAAAAUACUCAAGUAGUGCAGUGAAAGGAAAAAUUCUAACCUCGACCGUAAAUACCGCGUGUCCAUCGUGGCUAAGAUCUAGUCAAAAGAUCAGCCGACCAUUCCUACGUUUAUUAAGCGAAGGCCGAACCCAUCGGGUUUGGCCGUACGUAAUACCGUACGAAACGCCGGUCGUAGUGCCGUAAGCCGUACCCGCUACAGUCUCGUCACCUUACCACACAUAUAAAUACCCAGCGUCCCGAUCGACUACAGUAUGUG